UACGGAGGGUGCGAGCGUUGUCCGGAAUCACUGGGCGUAAAGGGCGCGUAGGCGGCGCGGGCAGUCAACGGUGAAAGCUCGGGGCUCAACCCCGAGUCGGCCGUCGAUACUCCCGUGCUUGAGCACUGUAGAGGCAGGUGGAAUUCCGGGUGUAGCGGUGGAAUGCGUAGAGAUCCGGAAGAACACCGGUGGCGAAGGCGGCCUGCUGGGCAGUAGCUGACACUGAGGCGCGACAGCGUGGGGAGCAAACAGG
Molecule: ribosomal RNA, 253 nt
Filed under: uncultured bacterium
Lineage: Bacteria
Description: partial 16S ribosomal RNA
Rfam family: Bacterial small subunit ribosomal RNA
Source: RNAcentral